UUUUGGUCCUCAAACUUUAAUUUAUUAAGAUUAUUUAUUCGAACUUUCAAAAUUAUUAUAAUUAAAGUUUCCUAAUUUAAUUUACUAAAUACACAUCGCUAAUAUAGCAGCAUAUUAAUUAUUAAUGUAUUAUUAAUCACAACGUUAUUAUAUCACUUUUAUGUUAGUGAUACAUUUAUAUUUAGUUAACUAAACUGAAUUAUAGCACUUGAUUGUAAUAGUCUUAAAAAUUCAAACUAAAUAUUAUAAACAAUUAAAUUUUAAGGAUCAGAACAUCACAACAUCAUAGUUUGAGGACCAAACGU
Molecule: long non-coding RNA, 305 nt
Filed under: Ananas comosus (pineapple)
Lineage: Eukaryota; Viridiplantae; Streptophyta; Magnoliopsida; Poales; Bromeliaceae
Description: long non-coding RNA (ACOM_LNC009639)
Source: RNAcentral